UGCCGGGUGGUGUAGUGGUACAUCCCACGAUCCACGGUGCCUCGCUUGAGGACCGUUCUGUAGCGUGCUAUGGAGCGUGGUGUCGCAUGGUUCGAAUCCUGCCCCGGCAA
Fusarium sp. MPI-SDFR-AT-0072 is the source of this 110-nucleotide non-coding RNA. The record is from the annotation of a GenBank genome assembly. NCBI's taxonomy places the organism in Eukaryota, Fungi, Ascomycota, Sordariomycetes, Hypocreales, Nectriaceae.